Molecule: long non-coding RNA, 251 nt
Filed under: Manihot esculenta (cassava)
Lineage: Eukaryota; Viridiplantae; Streptophyta; Magnoliopsida; Malpighiales; Euphorbiaceae
Description: long non-coding RNA (MESC_LNC007889)
Source: RNAcentral
AAGUCUAUACACUGUACACUAUCUCUUUAUACAAUUUCAUGUCCAUACUAGCUAUUACAUCACUUUUCUUCUUCCAAACCCUGCUGGACUCCCUCUGGACUCUGAACCUGCAAAUCUGGGGGAUAGGGGAGAGGAAUGAGCUAUACAAGCCCAAUGAGCAGAACUAUAAAACAUGAGUUGAAAACAUGAUCUCAUGGAAUGCACUACAUCACAUCAUCUCAGGGAUCAGACAUGACCACCAACAAUCCCAC